CCAACCGAUGUAGUCGGAACAUUAAAUAUAUUCAAUUUCCAUCGGCCUAAGAUUUUACCGACCCAAGUCCAUUCUUCAUUUAGGGUAAUACGUAAUUGGGAUUUUCAUUGUUACUCAGACCUCAAUCCUCACUGUUGCCUCUCAAUCUCUCACUACUCAGUACUUACAAGGGCCUCACUGUUGCCUCUCAUUCUCACAAAUGCUGCUCAGGAAUCAAGUGUCAAAAGAAGAAACGUUGCUGGCUUGCUGCUCAACAGCUCAAUCAAGUGUCAAGAGACGAAAUUCCGUGGGUUUUCUGCUUCUUGGAUGAGUUGAUGAGCAAUGAGUAGCUAUUCUUUGGCUUGUCUCAGGCCCUUUGUAAGUUUCCUAAAGUAACAGGUAACCAUGUAACAGAAAGGACGUGGAUUCUCGCUCGUAUUCUAUAUAGUUUCCCAUUUCAGGAAGUUGAAGUAUAUUUUUCCAUCUAGAUAAGGUCCUUUAGCACUUUUGCUUCAAGCCAAGGAAAGUUACUAAUGAGGUUUUGGCUUCGGAUAAUUGAAGGAGGAGCCAAAUUAUGAUAUCCAACAUUAUUCUUCUCAAAAUAGCCCUUGAUGCAUUGUCGUUGCUCUCUAAGGUGCAGCACCAUUGUUGGGUUCAGGGGUUUACAUUUUUCUGGAUCUUUUCUGGUACAAUAACUAGCUCGUGAUUCAGGUGCUUAAAGAAGCCAAGAGUUAUGUGAGAAUGAAAAAUAUGCUUCAAUAAGGGAAAGAAUUUGAGAAGUGAUUGAUAAAGAUGUCCUUCAAACACGUGUUCAUUUUGUUGCACGGACACAACAAUGUUUUGCUGUUAAGGCUAGAGCAGAUGGGCUACUUGAUAUUACAUGAUUUAAUUUCCUUUUUGGAAUUGCCUGGAUAUUUCGAGGCUUUGUAAAAUUGGGUAUGCAACAGAGACGAGUGAAGGAAGCAAUGGGAUUUUUAGAAAAAAAAUUAAGAUUUCUGACUAUAGUAGUCAGAAUAAUUAUAAUUAUUAAACAAUUAUUUAUUAAAAUU
Molecule: long non-coding RNA, 1028 nt
Organism: Capsicum annuum
Lineage: Eukaryota; Viridiplantae; Streptophyta; Magnoliopsida; Solanales; Solanaceae
Exons: 3
Source: RefSeq, a predicted model, not a curated record